Molecule: long non-coding RNA, 1984 nt
Organism: Astatotilapia calliptera (eastern happy)
Lineage: Eukaryota; Metazoa; Chordata; Actinopteri; Cichliformes; Cichlidae
Source: Ensembl
AACCAACCCGGAUUUUCCUGACUGAUCUCAAUUAUUUCAGCCAAAUCUGUUUCAUUUACAGCUGUCAAUCUAAAGCCUCCCACGUGGUCUUCAGGGCGGGCGCAUCUCGACUAGUUGAAUGUGCAACUUUUAGGUGGGCAGUUGCACUUGCACGUGCAUGUAGGAUACUCAACAGAAAACGUCCUGGAAGUCUGGAGGCGCGUCUUCUGCGGCAUCCAGAUUACUCCCAUCUGGUGCAAACCCGGUGCGCGCCGCUGCUGCCUCUUAUUCCAGGACUAAUUUCAGUCAGCGCUUUGAACCCCGAGCGCACUGCGUUGUGGCGGAGUGUAAGUGAGUGCGUUAAGUUCGAACUAGGAGCCUGAAUACGGUUUAUAUUUUAACAACGCCAAAUACAACAAAGUAUUUUGGCCAUUUCUGUUCAGCAAGAGGACUUAGAAGUAGGAUCGCACCAUGGAUACGGUCGGCGACUCUAUCGGAGAAAGUAAGCCGGUGUGCCAGUGUACCCCCAAGUCCCGGAGCCAGCGAUGGGUGCCAGGUUUCCCCAUCGCUCUGUGCUUGCUGAUGUCGAUGAGCUCCAUCACCGUGUGUCUUCUGAUGAGCUUGAAGACCUAUCAGCUGGAGAACCGACUGCAGAUGGAGUUGGACAAGGCGUCUAUCUUCCAACACCCGAAAAGGGCGUUCGUAAACGAGGAUGGGACCCUACUGUCAGAGUUGAGCACCCCAAUAGGAAAGCUCGUGGAAGAGAAAGUGGUGGCUCUGACGCCAAAAGUGCGGCCAGCGAGGGAUGUUGGCCAAGAGUGCUCCUGUCCUCCAGGGCCUCCAGGAAAACGUGGAAGGAUGGGAAGAAGAGGGGAACCUGGGCUUCCUGUAAGUACCAUUCCACCUCAUCCAGGUAGUAUGGAAACAAACUAAAGAGAGGUUUCAACAUCAGUCACGCAUGCACACACAUCCACCUUGUAUCAUCCCUCGCUGUGAGUCCUGCACGGCCCGGCAAACUGCGGGAGUUGCCAGGAAUCCUUUCACUCACAGACAUACAGACUGUCACAGACUCACUCGCACAUGCAUCCACAGAGAACGCCAAUAAAUGGACCACCUGUGCAUGUGGGUGUCCAUGACUGUGUGUUUGAGUCUUUCAUGGUGAUGGUUAGGGAGGUGUGACUUAUUUGCAGUGAGUUAUUCUCCUCUGUGGGACUGUAACUCCUGCUGACACUCUGACACACUCGGGAGAUAAAACACACCGUUACUCAAAGCCUUGUACAGAGUGGAAACUGAUGCAGCUGCCUUCAGAUUUGUUUUUUGUUUUGUUUUUUCCAUCUGCAUUUUAAAUGUCCAAUUUCAGUUUUUAUUCCCUUCUUUUUCUUUCUUUUUUUUAUUAAAUUGUCCCAUGUGGCACUGAUCAGAUAUGCAGAAUUGGAAAUGCUCUGAAACGUACCGUGACGAGCUUCCGGACACAUCAGAACAAAAACAGCAUGCCCGGCCAACCAGGAUUUGUUCGAUUGGUCUGCAUCUGAUCCACACUAGGUGUGCAUGAAACAAUGUCUUCUCUUAAAGACCCCCACAAAACUUACAGCCUAAAUCUCAUAAAGUUGAUGGGAAGGUGUGGUAAUCCAGUCACUCGCUACUCUGCAAAGUAGCAAUGUGUCAGUGCCGUUUAUCUAAGUAAUGUGCAGUGGCUGGUACUGUAGACACAAUGAAAACAACUGAUCUGAUUUUCUUUUUUAAUUAUUUUUUGUGUCCAAGUGGCUUUUAGUUUAAAACCGUGGUUCAUGUUUGAGAGCAGAUGAGAAAAGAGGAAAAAAAAUCCCAGAAAAUGUGAGUCAAAAGCUGUGGUGUAAACAUAUGACUAAGUCCUCGCUAGUUCAUUCGUUUCCAAAUACAAAUUUAGUCUCCAUUUACAGUAAAUUAUUUCAUUCAAGAAUUCAAUAUUUUUUAUGAAUAAAUAAAUAGUCAGCCACAAUCCUUUAAAUCAUUAACCACUUGUCUC